This 558-nucleotide long non-coding RNA is filed under the name Mytilus galloprovincialis (Mediterranean mussel). The record is from RNAcentral. Lineage: Eukaryota; Metazoa; Mollusca; Bivalvia; Mytilida; Mytilidae.
GUUUUUCCAAGUUCUUGAAAAAAUUUGGUCAACAAUUCACUUAAGUUACCGGUAAAUUAUGUAAUCACAUUAUUAAGUUUUAAUGCUAUUUUAUUUUGAUGCAUGUAUAACUUAUCCUGCAUACAUACCUGUCGAAACUGAAAUCCCCUCUAAACAUAAAAAAGUUUGAAGUCCAGUCAUAUGAAAUUUCAUGCGUUGUGAACAUGAUACUAAGUAGAACCAAACAUCUGCCAAAACCGGAGCUUUAAUUCCAGAAGAGGUUUGGUUUAGACAGAUUUCAAUGUAUUAACUAUUUUGUCUUUCAUUUUUGUAAAAUGACACUGAUUAACCAUUGUUUUAUUCCUGCUUCAAUAACUGAAUGUUCCAAAGAAAGGAGCUUUAAAGUGUAUACUGUGUUUGAAAAUGCCAUUUAAAUUUAGUGAACAAAAUAUCUGUUGAUAAAUAAAGGAACAGGAAUAGUUAAAAGUACAUGUCUGUAAUAAGAUAAUAACUAAUCAAUGCUAUUUUUGAAAGUGAUGUAAAAUGCUUGUUUGUGCAAUAUUGAAACUAUGGUCAGAG